RNAcentral lists this ribosomal RNA (357 nucleotides) under Triticum aestivum (bread wheat). RNAcentral's name for it is "partial small subunit ribosomal RNA". The record is from RNAcentral. Lineage: Eukaryota; Viridiplantae; Streptophyta; Magnoliopsida; Poales; Poaceae.
UUUGCAUGGCGAGCUGUGUAUUUAGCCUUUAACAUCACCCCACCUCGUGGUAUUUCACAUAUUUUUGGGACUUGGCUACAGGGGUUAAAAAAUCUUUAAGGCUUCUUAUUCUAGUCGGGGUAGCAGCUGUCUUUUCGGUCUAUCUGGCUUUGCAUAAAUGAUGUCAUAUUUUACAAGAUAAAAGUUUGUUCUUGUGCUACGCUUGUGUACCAAACUACCAAUUGGCUGCGGUUAUGGGCACUAUUACAGAAGGCGUGGUACAAGGAGCUGAUAGAGCCAGACGCGAAUAAACUUGAGUGGAUCACCAGGGUGUUUAUGAUCCGCUUUGGGCGGCAUAUGCCAAUGAUAGACUUUUGA